RNAcentral lists this ribosomal RNA (418 nucleotides) under uncultured bacterium. Its description in RNAcentral is "bacterial SSU rRNA". It matches the Rfam family "Bacterial small subunit ribosomal RNA", at positions 608 to 1029 of the family's 1533-position model. The record is from RNAcentral.
CUCAACCGUGGGACCGCACUGGAAACUAUUUGGCUUGAGUCCAAGAGGGGGAGCUGGAAUUCCAGGUGUAGGGGUGAAAUCUGUAGAUAUCUGGAAGAACACCGGAGGCGAAGGCGAGCUCCUGGCUAUGGACUGACGCUGAGGCGCGAAAGCGUGGGGAGCGAACAGGAUUAGAUACCCUGGUAGUCCACGCCGUAAACGUUGUGCACUGGGUGUUGGCCUUGAAAGGUCAGUACCGUAGCUAACGCGUUAAGUGCACCGCCUGGGGAGUAUGCCCGCAAGGGUGAAACUCAAAGGAAUUGACGGGGGCCCGCACAAGCGGUGGAGCAUGUGGUUUAAUUCGAUGAUACGCGAGAAACCUUACCAGGGCUUGACAUCUACCUGACUGCCAUAGAGAUAUGGCUUCCCUUCGGGGCAG